GCUGGGCGCAGUGGCGCACACCUGUAGUCCCAGCAGCUUGGGAGUCUGAGGCAGGAGGAUUGUGAGUUCAAAGCCAGCCUCAGUAACUUGGCGAGGCCCUAAGCAAUUUAGUGAGACCCUGUCUCUA
This 127-nucleotide small RNA is filed under the name Marmota monax (woodchuck). The record is from RNAcentral. Lineage: Eukaryota; Metazoa; Chordata; Mammalia; Rodentia; Sciuridae.